This 460-nucleotide ribosomal RNA is filed under the name uncultured bacterium. RNAcentral describes it as "partial 16S ribosomal RNA". It matches the Rfam family "Bacterial small subunit ribosomal RNA", at positions 338 to 795 of the family's 1533-position model. The record is from RNAcentral.
CCUACGGGUGGCAGCAGUGAGGAAUAUUGGUCAAUGGACGGAAGUCUGAACCAGCCAUGCCGCGUGCAGAAAGACGGCUCUAUGAGUUGUAAACUGCUUUUGUACAAGGGUAAACCUGAAUACGUGUAUUCAGCUGAAAGUACUGUACGAAUAAGGAUCGGCUAACUCCGUGCCAGCAGCCGCGGUAAUACGGAGGAUCCAAGCGUUAUCCGGAUUUAUUGGGUUUAAAGGGUGCGUAGGCGGAUUGAUAAGUUAGAGGUGAAAUGUCCGAGCUUAACUCGGGAACUGCCUCUAAUACUGUUGAUCUAGAGAGUAGAUGCGGUAGGCGGAAUGUAUGGUGUAGCGGUGAAAUGCUUAGAGAUCAUACAGAACACCGAUUGCGAAGGCAUCUCACGAAUCCGCGAUUGACGCUGAUGCACGAAAGCGUGGGUAUCAAACAGGAUUAGAUACCCUUGUAGUC